ACGUGGUUGAUCGGCGUGAGCACUAGGGCUUGUUUAGUUGUCACAGAUGGACCUUGCUCUUGCAAGCUGACAGCACUGUAUCUUCCUGGGCCAGAGGAGUCCCGGGUUACCAAGGAGACCAGGCGAGAAGGAGCACCCCCCUCACCCCCUGCCGACGUGGCCAGGCCCAGGGGACGCAAGGCUGGCUUGGGUGUCUGGAGAGCUGGGUGUGAAGCAUGUGUCUGCUCACAUGGACUCUGGGGCCCUGUCCAAAUUCCUCCCCCCCCCCCCCCAGCGCCAGCAGCAACAGUCAUCCUGCCUCCCCCAGGGGGAGAGCCGGCGCCCUCAGGCUGGAGGGCCCCCAGGCAGCCCUCGAGGACCCUCCCGAGACUGGCGCCUGCCGGGCAGCCAGCUGCAGCUUCUGGUUCUCCGCGGGUCGGGGUGAGUCACCGCCGGCUGAGGUGGGCGAAGGAGGAGCAGACAGCGCCUUUACUCCGCCGCACGCCAGGGGAGGGCGCUCAUGGCCUGACGCAGCCCCUCUGGCCGCUCCCAAGCCCCCACCCAAGCCCUGGAUCCCGGCCUCGCAGCAAGUGGCCAGGGGCUCCUCUCCUGGAAGCGGCAGGAAGCGAAGACUCGCCGGCUCUGAGGACAUGGCCACAACUGAUCCCUCCCCUGAGGCGGAGCGGGGCUGACCCCACUGCCCAUCCCUUUCUGGCCUGGGACCUGGACAGAAACAGAGGACCAAGCAGGAGCGAAGGGAAGAGGCGGAGCCUGGGUGCAGGGGCGGCAGCAGGGCCCCGGAGACCGCAGGCGCGUGUGGCCCAGAGCCCGGGCGCCAGGCUGAGCGGCUGCUCCCAGCUCCAGAGUCCCUGUGCCAGCUGGUCGCGGGCGGGUGGGCACGGGCAGGGCUGCGUGCCAGACACACACAGAGCGCCCUUUGAGGAGGUGGCAGCUGUGGGCCCAGACCCCUCUCUGCUUGCCAUGGCCCCGCCUGCCCCCUGCAGCAGGGCCUUGCUGAGCACAGGGCUCGGGGACACAGAGGUGCACACUCAGGAACACAGCGGUGCACACUUGGGAACCUCCACUCUUGGAGUGCAGGGGCCACCCUGCUUCUCAAGCCCAAAGCCACACCUCCUUUCUGGCCCACUCUAUUUCCUUCAUUGCCGGUGGCCCUGUUAG
Molecule: long non-coding RNA, 1158 nt
Filed under: Oryctolagus cuniculus (rabbit)
Lineage: Eukaryota; Metazoa; Chordata; Mammalia; Lagomorpha; Leporidae
Description: lncRNA (ENSOCUG00000037323.1)
Source: RNAcentral